UACGAAGGGGGCUAGCGUUGCUCGGAAUCACUGGGCGUAAAGAGUGUGUAGGCGGUGCUCUAAGUUCGGUGUGAAAUCUCCCGGCUUAACUGGGAGGGUGCGCCGGAAACUGGAGUGCUCGAGCGUGGGAGAGGAAAGCGGAAUUCCUGGUGUAGCGGUGAAAUGCGUAGAUAUCAGGAGGAACACCUGCGGUGUAGACGGCUUUCUGGACCAUUGCUGACGCUGAGACACGAAAGCGUGGGUAGCAAACAGG
RNAcentral lists this ribosomal RNA (253 nucleotides) under uncultured bacterium. RNAcentral's name for it is "partial 16S ribosomal RNA". It matches the Rfam family "Bacterial small subunit ribosomal RNA", at positions 524 to 776 of the family's 1533-position model. The record is from RNAcentral.